This is a long non-coding RNA of Bombus pyrosoma, 3505 nucleotides long. RefSeq lists it as uncharacterized. The transcript is spliced from 2 exons. Lineage: Eukaryota; Metazoa; Arthropoda; Insecta; Hymenoptera; Apidae. The record is from RefSeq and is a predicted model, not a curated record.
GUCACUAACAUUUAAUUUUCCAGAAUACGUAUUGCGUAGAUUCGGAUGUAAAUAUGAAUCGAUAUCACAUUAAUGAUGUGAUUUAUCGUUAUGUUUAAUUAUAGACGGGGGAUAAUCUGUUGCUAGAUAUCCCCAUUUUGUGUCACAGUUGCUUCGAGGGAAUCAGUGUUAUUGCAAAUAGUAUUAAGUGCGCUGCUUUUCGAUAACGAUUUAAUUUACGAUGGCUCGCUAUACACCUAGCGAAAUUGUCGAUAUGCUUGUGGCUUUGAGAGAAUGUGAUGAGUUUGGGAGAAUUAGUUCUAUCACUUCCGAGAUGUUGUUUAGGAUAGAGUAAAUAAUUGUAUUGACGUCCAAGAACAUCCUUUUGAAUACGUACGAUAAGGAACAAUUUUUUAGACGGAGGUAAGUUUUGGACCGCAAUAAAAGACCUUGAAUGACCUUAGAACACCAAUAUAUCGAAAUUUGGCGAAUUCGUCACGGAACGGGCUACGCGCCUACUUAAAUAAAGACAUAUUAGUUCCGUAUCAAAGAUCAUCUUGAAAUUUUAAAAGUACGUCCACCUGGAGAAGAUUUGUGAUCAACGUAAGAUGACCUUCCCGAAACAGGCUACAUAAUCCCUUGGAGCAAGAAGAACCGUGAAAGAAGAAAGAAAAACCGAGCGAAUCCAACGAAGAUGAAAUGAGAAACAGAGAAGCGAUGAAGGAAAAGCGAUCCAAGUGAAUCGACGAGAGGGAACAGAGUAAGAUGGGAGAAAAGAAGAAGAGAGAGAAAGAGAUAGAAAGAGAGAGGAUAAACGUUGAAGAACAAGGACGAGGAAAACCGACGACCCCACUGUUUGCCUUUUAUUAAACUCUUGUUAAACGCCGCCUUUCUUCGCACACACAAUUGAAUCGGCAAAACAGCGAAGAUAAUGCUUCGACCGAGUUGUACACGGCCGAGGGCCAAGCUCUUCUACGUGGAAGACUUACCGCAAACACCAGCUUCUUGUACACCCUGAAAUGGACACCAUGUAAUCCGGCUUUUUAUACGGCAGUGCCGCAUUGACCGGCUCCUCCAAGGCAUGCACAUCGGCUACUACUGGCUAAUAAAUACUGUUGUCAUCUCUCUUUCUCUCUCUCUCUCUCUCUCUCUCUCCCUCUAUACGUUUCCGUUUGUUCGUGAAAAAGAACCCUGAAAACGAUUCUUCAACGACCGUGAAAAUCGCACGGCCCACCCUCUUUCUGCCGGCAUCGUUCACCUCUAAUGAAAAUAUUUGGAUAUUUCGAGCAAGAUUGGCGUGGCCCACGUUUCAAAGCGUGCCAUUGUACUCCGUUGCUUCGAGAAGCUUGUAAGUAAGUACGUUUUUCCUUCGAACACGACUGGAUUGGACGCUAUGAGGUAUUUGAUGCUUUCUGUGAUUUUAUUUGCAAGUUACGUGUAUAUAACUAUUAUAUCAUAUAUUUGAUGAAUAUUAUUGUAUGUACGCCUUUAUUAUGCGUACUAUUUGUAUAUUUCUAUUUUGUAUGUUUUAUGUUUGAUAUUCCUUGCUUUAUUUCCAUUUAAUUCAUAUAUGUCUACCAUACUUCCGAAAAGACGAUUGAACGAUAAGUUUGUCAUAUAAUAUUUUGUUUUUCAUGGCACUGUACGCUAUCUGGUAGUCUUUGGAAUUAUGCUCGUGUCAUUGAUAAUUCUCUUCUAGUUCUCUUGAUAAUUUGUUCAUUUGAACUGGUCCUUAAAUUAUUCAAAAUUUCGUCCAAUUCCGAUAGCAUCGUAUCGCUAUAGUUUAUCGAAUCUUUUGAAAUUAUUUAUUAUAAAUAUGAAUAAAUGAAUGUAUAAUAAUCGUUGAAUUAAAUUAUUUGCAUUUUUAUAUUCUAUAUUCAUUUCUAUAUUCGAUAUGUAAUAAAUAUGAUCGUAAUAUCUUAUCUUCUAAUACCUUAUGACAAUAAUUGCUUCAAACGUUUCAUCAUUCUCAGUAAAAUUUAUUAUUCAGCGAUAGUAUCCCCAGUUAAAUGGUCCAAUGAAAAAUCUAUAGAUCAUAUCAAUAAAUUAAACAAUCACCAUUAUCGUACUAAUACGACAUCCGAUUUUUUAUUUAAACCAUUUGAAUCACAGAGUACAAAAUAUUAUGAUAGAAACGUUAUAAUUGUAACUUGAAAUCAAUUGAAAAAAUCGCUGAUUUUAAGAAGCUCGUAUAGAAGGAAAAUUAUAAAACUCAAAGUAUAUUUUCUCUAUUCUGAUAUCGACAUGAAUUUCACCAGAUUUGCAAGUGUAUCUAGCCUCCAGUAACGGCCGAUUUAAUUAUCGUUAUCCGUAACCCCUUCGAUCUAUUCGCAUUUGUCAUGUUCUUCAAAACAGUUUUAAUUGCAGCUCGAUAAGACCGGAAAUCAAAGGUUAUAAACGGCAAAAUACCGACACAAAGUGGCACGAGAUAUCGUGGAAUGCGUGUUGCAAUUCGUAGAAUUGCAAUGGGAGUCCGAGUCACGUACAAAAUAAACGCGUAAUACAUUGAAUAACCCUUGUGCAGUUCGUCAACAAUUUUUCUACCUAUUCUUAUUCCUUUCCUCUUUCAAAUAAACUUUCCAAUUUUAUAGAAAAACCAUCGAUAACGAAUUUCCGUACAUUAAAUUUGUUUUGAAAUUGAAAAAAGGGGAGUACGAUUCAAGAACCAUCGUUGAAUUUAUUAUUAAACGAUACCGGUAACGUCGAUUAUUAUAUUUGUAAGUUCGUUAAAAAAUAAGUUACGGCACAGUCAAUUUCUCGUUACGAUUUUUUUUUUUUUUUACAAUUACCACCAUCGACAAAAGAAAGGACGGCAGAGACGGAAGCGUGGAAAUCAAAUGGAAGGAAGAAAGAAAAAAGAGAAUAUAGUUGUGCACAGUUUAUAAACAAUGUUUAUUUUCUACAAUUUUACUUCUGUUCCAUAUCGUUUCGUUCUUUUUUCUUUCCCUGUUUUAAUUCUCUUUUACAAUCAUAGGAGCAGCCUACAUUUAACGUGAUUGAAAAAUCUUGCGCCAUUGAGAGUGUGAAUGUUGAAUAUGUAUACAGCACAUAUACAUGUACAUAACACACACACACAUAUAUAUAUAUACACAUACCUUUUCAUUUCAUUCUUAUCUUAUUUUAUAUAAUGUAUAUCGAAGUAAAAACUAAGUAUUCAUAAAAAACGUAGAUCAACAUUUUUUUUUUCUUUAUCUUUUUCAAUUUUUUUUCUCUCUCGUUCUGGUGGGAUAUCGUUUAUAAGGGCACAUUAUAGAACUCUCUAUGUGUACAUACAUAUACAUAUGCAUGUGUUCCCCAUACAUAUAUUAUAUAUACACAUACAUUUUACAUACUUUCAAAAAGAUAUGACAACCGGAUAUCGCUUUCUUCGUUCAACUCAACUCAACAAAAUGCCACAAUAUACCUGUGUGAUUCUCUUCCUUCCCCUUCUUCUUGUCUUUCCUUCUAUUUUCCCUUUCCCUUCUCUCCCUUCCUCGUUCCUAAACGUUUUACAACUCGCUUUCCGCUCCCUAUUGACUAGUGACAC